This 445-nucleotide ribosomal RNA is filed under the name uncultured bacterium. Its description in RNAcentral is "bacterial SSU rRNA". It matches the Rfam family "Bacterial small subunit ribosomal RNA", at positions 29 to 517 of the family's 1533-position model. The record is from RNAcentral.
AGCGAACGCUGGUGGCAGGCUUAACACAUGCAAGUCGAACGGGCACCUUCGGGUGUCAGUGGCAGACGGGUGAGUAACACGUGGGAACGUACCCUUCGGUUCGGAACAACUCAGGGAAACUUGAGCUAAUACCGGAUACGCCCUUACGGGGAAAGGUUUACUGCCGAAGGAUCGGCCCGCGUCUGAUUAGCUAGUUGGUGAGGUAAUGGCUCACCAAGGCGACGAUCAGUAGCUGGUCUGAGAGGAUGAUCAGCCACACUGGGACUGAGACACGGCCCAGACUCCUACGGGAGGCAGCAGUGGGGAAUAUUGGACAAUGGGCGAAAGCCUGAUCCAGCCAUGCCGCGUGAGUGAUGAAGGCCUUAGGGUUGUAAAGCUCUUUCGACGGGGACGAUAAUGACGGUACCCGUAGAAGAAGCCCCGGCUAACUUCGUGCCAGCCGCCG